RNAcentral lists this ribosomal RNA (519 nucleotides) under uncultured bacterium. RNAcentral describes it as "partial 16S ribosomal RNA". It matches the Rfam family "Bacterial small subunit ribosomal RNA", at positions 28 to 507 of the family's 1533-position model. The record is from RNAcentral.
GACGAACGCUGGCGGCGUGCCUAAUACAUGCAAGUCGAGCGAGCUUGCCUAGAUUUUGUUGGUGCUUGCACCGGAGAAAACUAGAUACAAGCGAGCGGCUGACGGGUGAGUAACACGUGGAUAACCUGCCCAAGAGGCUGCGAUAACACCUGAAUACAGUUGCUAAUACGGUUUAAUAACACUAGACGCAUUUCUAGACUUUAAAAGAUGGUUCUGCUCUGCCUUUUGGAGUGGCUUGCGUAGCAUUAGCUAGUUGGUAAGGCAACGGCUUACCAAGGCAAUGAUGCAUAGCCGAGCUGAGAGACUGAUCGGCCACAUUGGGACUGAGACACGGCCCAAACUCCUACGGGAGGCAGCAGUAGGGAAUCUUCCGCAAUGGGCGCAAGUCUGAUGGAGCAACGCCGCGUGAGUGAAGAAGGGUUUCGGAUCGUAAAGCUCUGUUGGUAGUGAAGAACGAUAGAGGAAGUAACUGGCCUCUAUUUGACGGUAAUUACUUAGAAAGCCACGGCUAACUACGUG